This is a long non-coding RNA of Lineus longissimus, 1515 nucleotides long. RefSeq lists it as uncharacterized. The record is from RefSeq and is a predicted model, not a curated record. The transcript has 4 exons. Lineage: Eukaryota; Metazoa; Nemertea; Pilidiophora; Heteronemertea; Lineidae.
UCUCUGAGACAGGACAUUGUCACAACCUCAGAGCAGACCCAGUGUUCAGUUCUGCAACUGUUUCUCUCGGAGACGGAACCUCGCAGCAGAUGUAGUACUCUGUAGUCCCAACCAUCUUGCAUAUUGAUUCUAACCCCUACUGUCCCAUUCCAGGACCAAAGUUCAACCAUCGCUCAUAUGGUCCUACAGAUGAAACUGAAAGCUCCCAUUGCCCAUGAGACUACGCAAGAGAAAGGCAACUGCUUGAUGUUCUAUGCCUAGCACAUAUAUUCAGCAACCUGGGUGAUAAUUUUCUGCAGUCCAAGAAGUGUGUCUUGAAUGGAACAGGUGAGGCUUCCCAAGAUGAUGAUGGAUUGACAACUGGAGGAUGUUCGAGGUAUACGACGGAGGGAACGAUGCCUUACUUCCUGGAUGGACACUAUAGCCUGUGAUGCAGAGAGCACUGAAGUUCAAGAGCAAGAGAGGUGUUGACACAGAUGGCUCAGAACUGUAAUGCCUGGAGGGCUGUGGUGGUACAGUUGACAUAGAAAUGUAAAGUCGCAGGAGUGAGUGGUCCAAGAAUGGAAAGUGUUCAAAAAUAACACAAGCAGGGCAAAAAUUGGAGACUUUGGCCAGGAUCGUGGCAACAAGAUGCAACGUGGCCAACUGUUGGCAGCUCAAGACUGGAGCUAAGCAGGUCUGAUCAGGAUCAAGGUGGAAGAUGGUUACUGAGCAUGCAAGAGCAGCUUUGGAAGGUGGACAACUGAUGCACAACCUUGGAAUUUGUCCAAAAUGUCUAAAUCCUGAAUUUCACAAAACUGAGCUCCGAGUGGAACUUGAUGAAGGUGUUUCUGAACAUGAAAAGGAUGAAUUAGCCAGAAACUUGGAAGUAAAAGUCACCGGGAUGCACAGAGAUCACCAGACAUGGCAGCAAUGACCACCAAUUUGUGCAGAGGCAUACAUGAACAGAUGGCUUGUGCUGAUAGGAGCAGAUGACUUUUGGGUGUAAGGAGAUGGCUGACAGAUGGAAACAGGCAGCUUACAUAUAGGAGCAGAUGGUGCAUGGAGGGGAGUAUUGUGCUCUGUAGUACAUGAUUUGAAAAGUUGUAAAUCUGCUUAUUGGAGUAAAGAUGUACAAUGUAAUAUCCACACCUGGUAUUCUACUGUAGGUUAGCUAGGACCUUUUUGUUUUCACUUUUAAAAACCUAUGCGAUCUGCCGCACUGAAUGUCCCUCUUGGAUUGUUGGACUGGGUCCGUUAAAUGUCAAAUGGCGUAAAUUGGCCGUCUGAGUGUAACUAUGGCACGUUUCUUAACCGCAAAAGCAGUGGCUGUCUUCAGGUCUUUUCUGCCUCGCAGGCAAAUCUGCAUACCAGCGAUUAUAUGCAUACUUAAGUUUUGCUUUGAAGCAAUAUCAGUGGUACCCUUGUUAAGCAGUGGCAGUGUUCAGGUCUUGUCUGCCUCGCUGACAUAUCUGCAUACCAGUAGUUAUGUGCAGACUUGGCUCUUUCUUUGGAGCAGUACAGUUGUAAGAUAAA